Molecule: small nucleolar RNA, 133 nt
Organism: Xyrauchen texanus (razorback sucker)
Lineage: Eukaryota; Metazoa; Chordata; Actinopteri; Cypriniformes; Catostomidae
Product: U8 small nucleolar RNA
Exons: 1
Source: RefSeq, a predicted model, not a curated record
GUAUCAGUGAGGUAUAUCCUUACCUGUUACCUUAGAGAUAAGGUUUCAGAACAUGAUGAUUGGAUUCUAUGAAUAUGUGAUUAUGUUCCGUAUUUUUUAUGGGAAUGCAACCCCAUAAUGAAUCCUGUCUGAC